UCUUGCUCCUAACAUCAGUAUAGAAGUACUGCAGGUGAUUGGGAGGCAGUGAGGAAGAGUGAGUAGCUCUGAAAUAGUAGACACCAGACAGGAGACAGCUUACAAAAACUUUCUAAAGAUAAUGUACAAAGUAGAGACAGGUUGAGCAAGUAGAAGACAGCACAACUAUAGAAGCCUAACAAAUAACAUUUAUAGAAGGAUAAUUUGAUAGAAUGGCAGUGCUGAGUCAUAUUUAAUAUGUGACUUACAUUGCCCCAAGAUCUCUUUUCGAUGGAGUUAGAUCAACCAGUUAUUUGUGCCAUCUUUCUGCCUCCUUCCAUGCCCUGUCCCCAGUAUAAACAGAUAGCCUACUCUAUGCUGUAUUGAUACAGCAUGAUGUUUGGCUACUUCUAAUUGUCAAGUUUCACUUACUCAGAAAUACUGGAUUCACACAGAGGUAACUGACUGGCUAAUUACUCUCCUGGGAAUGUGGCGUUAGAUUGAUCAUUAUAAAUAAUGGGAAACCAGAUAAACUUACUCUGCUUUUAGGGCUUGCAUCUGAAACAGGGAAGAGAAAUCAGUAUUAUUUUAUGAUUUUAGCUUUCCUCACUUUUUAGAUGCUGCAGCUGUGUCCUCAUUGUAUUUUAUGGCCAGAAAAAAAAUCACCCCUCAGCAGUUCCUAUAAUUUCAAAUUUAUAACUAUGUCCAGGGUAAUUCACCCGUAAGUCAACUAGAAAUAAAAAUAGAGAAGAUAGACCCAUCUGUUGGAGUGGUUUUUUUAACUGCAGAAAACAUUUCCUUUCUUUAAAAGCAAAGCUGUAAAAUCUGUAUAAAUUUCAAUCUGUAAACCAUGAAACUCUAAUUUUUCCACUUCUCUAGUCACUUUGAGUAAAUGAUUUUGCAUAUGUGGGAUGUCAAAAAUCAACAAAAUGGUCCAAGGGAGUGUGAGAGAUUGAUUUUGACUACAUUAAAGUCUUUUAAGGAAUAGCAAAAAAGAUUCUUCAGGUAAAUAAGAACCGAAAGAAUUCUACACUGCUUGGUACUGAAAGAUCUGUGUCUUCAGCUGAAAACAUUUGGCUAGAAUUUCACCAGAAGUGGUCUCAUCAUCCUGUGAAUGAUAAACGGUGAAUGAAAAAUAUUAGAUGCUAGUACAUAUACAAAAGAAGAAAAAAACCAUUAUCAAUUUGUAUUUAUUGAAUACCAGUGCUCAGCCAGGGCUGAAAUCAAUACAAGAAAUAACAUCAUUGAUACAUUUGCUGGAUAUAAUCACAAAACUUUCAUAUCUUUUUGAGAAUUUCAGAGUUAGACAGUGAGAGAGAGAGACAGAGAAAAGUCUUCCUCCGUUGGUUCACCCCCAAAAUGGCCACUACUGCUGGCACUGUGCCGAUCUGAAGCCAGGAGUCGGGUGCUUCUUCCUGGUCUUCCAUGCGGGUGCAGGAGCCCAAGCACUUGGGCCAUCCUCCACUGUACUGGAUACAGCAGAGAACUGGACUGGAAGAGGAGCAACCAGGACUAGAACCUGGUGCCCAUAUGGGAUGCCGGCACCGCAGGUAGAGGAUUAACCAGAUCUUGAUUUAGGUAAGAUGAAACUGAAGGAAAUCCUGUUGGAAAAUGUAAUAUUGGUGAAAUUACACUGCCUGCUUUCCGAAGGAUUCAUUCUUAAUGAAGAAUUAGUGAGAGGAAGAGCCUCCUUGCAGAGUGACAGAAAGAGAGAGAGAGAGAGAAAGAGAGAGAAUCUUUCAUCUGCUGAUUUACUCUCCAGAUGGCUGCAAUGGCCAGGACUGAGCCAAGACUCCAUUCAGAUCUCCCAUGUGGGAGGGAAAUACAAUUUUCCACAGGUGUCCAAGCUGUUCUGACUCCGAAGGCCUUGGUCUCCUUGGGUUGGAGCUGUUUCAACAUCUUGAAAUGAAACGACUAAUUAAAGUGUUUUUUGUUUUUGGCUGGAAGUCUUUCUUUUUCCCUGGCUGGAGUUCCGCCUUCUUUUGAAGCCAGUACAGCACAUUCCUAUUUCUAAAUUUUGGUGUGGAAAAUACCAUUGGCUGGGCAACAAAAAAAACAUGAAUGAAGCAUUUGACAAUUGAUUAUCUACCUUGCUCUUCCUCAUACUAAGUGGGACAUGCACCAAGAAUCCAUCAUCACUUUCUCACAACUUCAUGUGAGUCAGACAGACCCUUGAAUAAAAAUAUUUCUUUAUAUGGAUUAUCAACUUUAUGAAUAAUCUUCUCCCCUAUGUUUAUGAUGGCUUAUUGAUUUUAGAAAAAUUAAUUAUUUUAUCAACAUGUUUUGAGAGACUGUAUUUGCCAGAUUUUGAGAAUAUAAUACACUCUGCUAUUGUUGAUUGUUUAUUAUUUGCCUUCCCCAGGAGAUUUAACCUCCUUUGGAGAAAACCUAUGACCUUCUUGCUUACUGAAGAAUCUAUUCCAUAGGGCACCAAUCUCUGACUCAUGGUGGAAGAGUAAAGAAAUAUAAACAGAAUAAAUAGAUUUUUGAGCUUAAUGGACAUAACUCUUGCAUUGGAAGACAACACAAACAAAUGGGGAGAUAAUGCUUGAAUUUAAACAAUGAUAAUUCAUUCAUCUAAGAACCAAUAGAGGCAUGCAUAAAGAGUUAUGAAGUCCCAAAUAUGAACAGAUUCCCAAGUGUUUGAGGGAGGCAAUAAACAUAAGGAAGAGAUUCAAAGUUAGUGUUGUCUGAACUGUACCAAGAGGAAGAAGAGCUCCCUGGAAAGUCUGGGUGAAAGGAGAGAAGAAAAUCACAGUGACAGGAUAUUUGUACUUUGUGACCAAACACAAUUAGAGGUACUUGAAGGACCAGAGGGAGAGGAUUCCAGCUUGAUGAAAAACAGAAGCAGAAGGAACUAAAAUCAGAGGACUCAAGAUUUGUGGAACCCUUGGAACAAGAAGAACAAGAAGCAACUAGAAGAGAUGGUAGUGAAGUGGAUAUUCUUGUCUGUUCUACUCAGAUACACUGGUCUACUUGCUGGUCCUCAAACAUACUAGGAAAGGAGAAGUCAGUACCUGCUCUGCCUUCUAAGCCACUAGAGGAAAAUGAGAGCAAGCUCAGAGGAGGUCAUCAUUUCUUCUGGAUUCCCUUGAGGCAUGCUGGAACAUGAAUAAAGAGUAGAGAAGCUCCUUACAAAUGUGCUGCCUCCAAAUAUGUCAGCAGAAUAACCUGACUUUUCCCAGCAACAGCCAUCUUUCAGUCUCUGAGCACUUCAAGAACUUCUGGCCAUUAACGAGGAUCUGGAUUGGAAGCGGAGCAGCUGCGACUCGAACCUGCGCCCACAUGGGAAGACAGCACUGCAGCUGGCUGCUUAACCUGAUGUAUCACAGAGCUGGCGAACUUGAAGUGUAAACACUUGUUGUCUUUUGGUGACGCUUUUAGGUCCCCAGUGAGCUUUCUUUGACAGCAAAGAGCUUUAAAAAUGUAAGUUUAUGCUUACUUAAAAUCAAGUACUGAUUUUCCUUUUCUAAAGAAUGUUAUUAAUAAAUGGGUGCCUUGCACACAUCUGGUCACAGAACUGUUCCUUUUGAGCACAUAGUAGGCAAAAACAACUCCUUCCCAUUUAUAGAUUGUACACUUAGAAUACAAGUUAGAUGUCAAGAACUCAGGUAAAAUUUAGUACUUUUAUUACUGAUUUACAAUUCAUAAUUUUAUAAUUUAUUUCUGCUCCUUUUUAUCUAUUUCAGACUUCAGCAGAAUACUUCUUUUUAUUUUUUAUUUUAUUUUUUGACAGGCAGAGUGGACAGUGAGAGAGAGAGACAGAGAGAAAGGUCUUCCUUUUGCUGUUGGUUCACCCUCCAACGGCUGCUAUAGCUGGCGUGCUGUGGCCGGCGCACUGUGCUGAACCGAAGCCAGGAGCCAGGUGCUUCCUCCUGGUCUCCCAUGCAGGUGCAGGGCCCAAGCCCUUGGGCCAUCCUCUACUGCACUCCCGGGCCACAGUAGAGUGCUGGACAGGAAGAGGGGCAACCGAGACAGAAUCUGGUGCCCCAACCGGGAGUAGAACCUGGUGUGCAGGCGGAGGAUUAGCCUAUUGAGCCGCGGCACCGGCCCAGAACAUUUCUUUUGGUAUGUGUUGUGGGUUGAAUUGUGGGCCCCUAAAAGAGGCAUUCACGCUGAGUGUGAUCUUAUUUGGAAAUAGUCUUUUCAGAUGUAAUGAUAUUAAAGUCAUUGGUGUGGGCCCUAAAUCCCGGGACUGCUGUCUUUGAAAGGGAAAAGAGAGGGAGAUGUGGAAACGAGACCAAAAGGAGAGAUAUGGAGGAAGAAGGCCAGGCAAAGAUUGGCAUGGUGUAUUUAGAAGCCAAGGGAUGCCCGAGACGUCCAGGAGUCAUGAGAAACCGGGAAGGGGCAGAGAAGCAUUCUUCCCUAGUGCUGGCCACGCUUCCCUUGGCAGGGAGCAUGGGCCUGCAAAACCUUGAUUUUGACUUCUAACCUCCAGAAUUCUAAAAGAAUGGGUUUUCGUUGUUUCAAACCAUCCAGUAUGAUUAGUUAUGACAGCCCUACAAAACUGAUAUACCACGUGAUGAGUUUUUAAUAGUCAGAAGUCCUUCCAAGCCAUACACACUUCGUUUUGUUCAUUUCUUAUUUCUCUCUGAAAAGGAACACUAGCACUUGCUUAAAUCUUAUUAAAAUACAAACUUUCUUUUACAGUAGAUAAAGUUUCUUUCACAUCCCAAAUUUCUUCACAUUGAUGUGUUUUUUGUUAUGUGUUAUUUUUAAGUGUUCUUUUGGGUUUCACAGCUUUCUGACAACGUAUCCAAAGGAAAAAGUGGAAAAUUGUGAACUGUUUGACUAGAAUGCAGAGAGCAGGAGUUUGGAGGAUUGAUCUUGGUGUCUGAGUUAUGUAAAUGCCCCUAGAAUCCAGCACAGAGACUUUCACAAAUGGGGGGUAAACAGACAAACAAACAACAAAAACAGUUAUUGAAUUUAAAGUCAAUAAUAAAGUGUCGCCAUGUUCAUCAGAAUUUAAAAGCAUGCAAAUGUCUUUUUCUGAUUACCAGGGAGUCAUUUUCCUUGUCAAGUUAGUUCUGUGUAAGAUUUUUGAGAUUUGCUGAUUGUGUGGCCCUUGUAUCUUCUGUUGAGUAACAGUGCUUUUUUUCCCUUUCAUAUUAUUUGUUGAACUUUUUUACUUAGUGUAGGGUUAAUUUUAUGAUCAUUAAGUAAACUGAAAGUAAAUCUUUAUAAAAAUUGAGUGGAGGGGCCGGCGCUGUGGUGUAGCAGGUAAAGCUGCUACUUACAGUGCAUCCCAUAUGGGCACUGGUUCAAGAUCUGGCUGCUCCACUUCCGAUCCAGCUCCCUGCUAUGGCCUGGAAAAGCAGUAGAAGAUGGCCCAAGUCCUUGGGCCUCUGGACCCGUUGGAAGACCCAGAAGAAGCUCCUGGCUCCUGGCUUCAGAUCAGCGCAGCUCUGCCCAUUGCAGCCAAAUGGUGUGUGAACCAGCAGAUGGAAGACCUCUCUCUCUCUCUCUCUCUCUCUCUCUCUCUCUGCCUCUCCUUCUCUCUCUGUGUAACUCUGACUUUCAAAUAAAUAAAAUAAAUCUUUAAAAAAAAUUAAGAGUGGGAAUGGGAGAGGGAGUAGGAAGAAAUGUUGGAGCAUGGGUGGGAUGGAGAGUAGGGUGGGAAGUAUCACUAUGUUCCUAAAUCUGUAUAUGUGAAAUAUAUGAAACUUGUAUAACUUAAGUAAAAUUAAAAAAAAUAAACUGUCUUACCAUUUAAAGAAAAAGAAUUUGUGUUCUUCAUAAUAUGCACCAAGUACUGCCUUCAGUCUAUAGAUAGGAUUAGAUACAAGUUUGUUUUUGUUGCAGUGUGGAGUUAGUUGUAUAAUCAUCAAUAACAACAAUAAUACUAGUUUCAUAAUAACUUGAAUAAUUUUAUAAUUGACUAACAUUUCCAUGCAUAUCAUUUGCUCCCCUUAAUAAGUCUGUGGAUUAUUUAUCAAUCCUAUUUUACUGGUCUCCCAUAUGUGUUUGGAAAAUAAAAUUCAAAAACAUUUGAAGACUUAACCAAAGUCGCAGUGCCCAAAUUCAAGGUUCUGUUUGUUACAGUAGUUCAGUGAAUUAUUAAAACCUAUAAUAGACAAAACAAGAGUGUCAUUUGCAUCUUUCUGCCACAUUUCUGUUAUACUUGUGUACCACACAUCAUCACUAAUGUGGAGAAAAUUUUGUUUUUCAAGCUCAAAGUCUGUUCUCAGUUUUGUAUUAUAGAAAGGGGCUUAUUGACAGUAGACUAAUUAGGAGAAUUCUAAGUAGGUGAUGAGGUGGAACAUGUUUUGCAUAAGACAAGAUGAAAUCUGUUCAAAUCUCUUCUGCAGGGCAGCCAAAAUGACACCAGCACUUUGGCAGUGAUGGAUGAAAGAGCUCUUAAAAAGAAGUUUCAGCUUUAAUGACAUUCUUGAAAAUGUGGAUGAGCUGCCUUUUUAGACUUUAAGACAUUGGAGAGAUAGGAAAUCACAGUAAGAAGAAAUGCUGAGAUUGCCCUUAUUUUCAAAAAUACUUCCUAGAAAAAUUUUCAAAUCAUCAUCUCAUUGACAGCAACAAUCCUUCACUGGACACCAACUCCUUAUAACACACAAGGUCAUGGCACAAUUUUUAAGUAUUUUACUAAAUUCUAGAAAUUAUGCAAUAAAAUUUGGUUUUCCAUUUGAAGUUUGCAUACAUUGAAAAU
Oryctolagus cuniculus (rabbit) is the source of this 6640-nucleotide long non-coding RNA. RefSeq lists it as uncharacterized. The record is from RefSeq and is a predicted model, not a curated record. NCBI's taxonomy places the organism in Eukaryota, Metazoa, Chordata, Mammalia, Lagomorpha, Leporidae.